Molecule: ribosomal RNA, 1250 nt
Filed under: metagenome
Description: bacterial LSU rRNA
Rfam family: Bacterial large subunit ribosomal RNA
Source: RNAcentral
UACACGACCGUACCGCAAACCGACACUGGUGCGCGAGAUGAGUAUUCUAAGGCGCUUGAGAGAACUCAGGAGAAGGAACUCGGCAAAUUGACACCGUAACUUCGGAAGAAGGUGUGCCUUUAGUAGGUGAACCAUUUACUUGGGGAGCCCAAUGAGGCUGCAAAAAAUCGGUGGCUGCAACUGUUUAUUAAAAACACAGCACUCUGCUAAGACGAAAGUCGACGUAUAGGGUGUGACGCCUGCCCGGUGCUGGAAGAUUAAAUGAUGGGGUGCAAGCUCUUGAUUGAAGUCCCAGUAAACGGCGGCCGUAACGAUAACGGUCCUAAGGUAGCGAAAUUCCUUGUCGGGUAAGUUCCGACCUGCACGAAUGGCGUAAUGAUGGCCACACUGUCUCCUCCUGAGACUCAGCGAAGUUGAAAUGUUUGUGAUGAUGCAAUCUCCCCGCGGAAAGACGGAAAGACCCCAUGAACCUUUACUGUAGCUUUGUAUUGGACUUUGAACAGAUCUGUGUAGGAUAGGUGGGAGGCUUUGAAGUGUGGUCGCUAGAUCGCAUGGAGCCAACGUUGAAAUACCACCCUGGUGUGUUUGAGGUUCUAACCUAGGUCCAUUAUCUGGAUCGGGGACAGUGCAUGGUAGGCAGUUUGACUGGGGCGGUCUCCUCCCAAAGUGUAACGGAGGAGUUCGAAGGUACGCUAGGUACGGUCGGACAUCGUGCUAAUAGUGCAAUGGCAUAAGCGUGCUUAACUGCGAGACUGACAAGUCGAGCAGAUGCGAAAGCAGGACAUAGUGAUCCGGUGGUUCUGUAUGGAAGGGCCAUCGCUCAACGGAUAAAAGGUACUCUGGGGAUAACAGGCUGAUACCGCCCAAGAGUUCAUAUCGACGGCGGUGUUUGGCACCUCGAUGUCGGCUCAUCUCAUCCUGGGGCUGUAGCCGGUCCCAAGGGUAUGGCUGUUCGCCAUUUAAAGAGGUACGUGAGCUGGGUUUAAAACGUCGUGAGACAGUUUGGUCCCUAUCUUCCGUGGGCGCUGCAGAUUUGAGGAAGCCUGCUCCUAGUACGAGAGGACCGGAGUGGACGAACCUCUGGUGUAUCGGUUGUCACGCCAGUGGCAUUGCCGAGUAGCUAAGUUCGGAAGAGAUAACCGCUGUAAGCAUCUAAGCGGGAAACUCGUUUCAAGAUUAGAUCUGCCGGGGCCUUGAGCCCCCUAAAGAGUCGUUCAAGACCAGGACGUUGAUAGGUCAGGUGUGGAAGC